AUGCAGUCGAACGAUGAUAGCCCUUAAGGGGUGGAUUAGUGGCGAACGGGUGAGUAACACGUGGGCAAUCUGCCCUUCACUCUGGGACAAGCCCUGGAAACGGGGUCUAAUACCGGAUAACACUCUGUCCUGCAUGGGACGGGGUUGAAAGCUCCGGCGGUGAAGGAUGAGCCCGCGGCCUAUCAGCUUGUUGGUGGGGUAAUGGCCUACCAAGGCGACGACGGGUAGCCGGCCUGAGAGGGCGACCGGCCACACUGGGACUGAGACACGGCCCAGACUCCUACGGGAGGCAGCAGUGGGGAAUAUUGCACAAUGGGCGAAAGCCUGAUGCAGCGACGCCGCGUGAGGGAUGACGGCCUUCGGGUUGUAAACCUCUUUCAGCAGGGAAGAAGCGCAAGUGACGGUACCUGCAGAAGAAGCGCCGGCUAACUACGUGCCAGCAGCCGCGGUAAUACGUAGGGCGCAAGCGUUGUCCGGAAUUAUUGGGCGUAAAGAGCUCGUAGGCGGCUUGUCACGUCGGAUGUGAAAGCCCGGGGCUUAACCCCGGGUCUGCAUUCGAUACGGGCUAGCUAGAGUGUGGUAGGGGAGAUCGGAAUUCCUGGUGUAGCGGUGAAAUGCGCAGAUAUCAGGAGGAACACCGGUGGCGAAGGCGGAUCUCUGGGCCAUUACUGACGCUGAGGAGCGAAAGCGUGGGGAGCGAACAGGAUUAGAUACCCUGGUAGUCCACGCCGUAAACGUUGGGAACUAGGUGUUGGCGACAUUCCACGUCGUCGGUGCCGCAGCUAACGCAUUAAGUUCCCCGCCU
This 805-nucleotide ribosomal RNA is filed under the name Streptomyces sp. MJ107. RNAcentral's name for it is "bacterial SSU rRNA". It matches the Rfam family "Bacterial small subunit ribosomal RNA", at positions 55 to 874 of the family's 1533-position model. The record is from RNAcentral. Lineage: Bacteria; Bacillati; Actinomycetota; Actinomycetes; Kitasatosporales; Streptomycetaceae.